This 74-nucleotide transfer RNA is filed under the name Cordylochernes scorpioides. Its description in RNAcentral is "tRNA-Thr". Lineage: Eukaryota; Metazoa; Arthropoda; Arachnida; Pseudoscorpiones; Chernetidae. The record is from RNAcentral.
UUUCAAGGGAUGGGAAUCGAACCCACGACCUUACGCUUACCGGGCAGAUGCCAUGACCACUAGGCUACCCUGGA